Molecule: ribosomal RNA, 531 nt
Filed under: Triticum aestivum (bread wheat)
Lineage: Eukaryota; Viridiplantae; Streptophyta; Magnoliopsida; Poales; Poaceae
Description: partial small subunit ribosomal RNA
Source: RNAcentral
AUGACACACUAUGUGCUGCUCCUCUGUUCCUUCGAGGAACAGCUCCAGCAGCAUGUGCGUGUCCACGCCAUGGAGGCGGUGAUGGCCUGCUGGGAGCUCGAGCAAACUCUGCAGAGUCUUACAGGGGCAUCUCCUGGUGAAGGCACCGGGGCAACUAUGUCCGAUGACGAAGACAAUCCGGUCGACAGUGAGAGCAACAUGUUUGACGGGAAUGAUGUGUCAGAUGGCAUGGGCUUCGGAAUGCUAACCGAGGGUGAGAGAUCCUUGGUCGAGCGCGUGAGGCAAGAGCUGAAGCAUGAGCUUAAACAGGGGUAUAGAGAAAAGCUUGUGGACAUCAGGGAGGAGAUACUGCGGAAGCGAAGAGCCGGAAAGCUCCCAGGGGACACGGCGUCUACCCUGAAAGCUUGGUGGCAAGCCCACGCCAAAUGGCCGUACCCAACUGAGGAGGACAAGGCGCGGCUGGUGCAGGAGACGGGGCUGCAGCUGAAGCAGAUCAACAACUGGUUCAUCAACCAGCGCAAGCGGAACUAG